AUUGAACGCUGGCGGCAGGCUUAACACAUGCAAGUAGAGCGAGCGGCGGACGGGGGAGGAAUGUCGGGGAAACUGCCUGAUGGGGGGGGAUAACUACUGGAAACGGUAGCUAAUACCGCAUACCAUCAGAUGUGCCACGAUGGGGGUAGCUAGUAGGAGGGGUAAUGGUUCACCUAGGCGACGCUCCCUAGCUGGUCUGAGAGGAUGACCACCCACACUGGAACUGAGACACGGUCCAGACUCCUACGGGAGGCAGCAGUGGGGAAUAUUGCACAAUGGGCGCAAGCCUGAUGCAGCCAUGCCGCGUGUGUGAAGAAGGCCUUCGGGUUGUAAAGCACUUUCAGCGAGGAGGCGUUACUCGCAGAAGAAGCACCGGCUAACUCCGUGCCAGCAGCCGCGGUAAUUC
RNAcentral lists this ribosomal RNA (406 nucleotides) under uncultured bacterium. RNAcentral describes it as "partial 16S ribosomal RNA". It matches the Rfam family "Bacterial small subunit ribosomal RNA", at positions 30 to 526 of the family's 1533-position model. The record is from RNAcentral.